Molecule: unclassified non-coding RNA, 169 nt
Filed under: soil metagenome
Description: partial contains 5.8S ribosomal RNA, internal transcribed spacer 2, and large subunit ribosomal RNA
Source: RNAcentral
AACACUGUUAACCUGCGGUACCUGCGGAAGGAUCAUUAAAAAAAUGAUGAAUGUCGGGGGGGCGUUUGUUCCCCCGUGUAUUCAACCAACCCGCUCUUGUAUUUGGAUCAACCAAAAAUCUAAAAAGCAAAAAUUAUAAUUAAUAAAAUAAACUUUCAACAAUGGAUCU